AUUGAACGCUGGCGGCAAGCCUUACACAUGCAAGUCGAACGGCAGCACGGGAGCUUGCUCCUGGUGGCGAGUGGCGAACGGGUGAGUAAUACAUCGGAACGUACCCAGUAGUGGGGGAUAACGCACCGAAAGGUUCGCUAAUACCGCAUACGACCUACGGGUGAAAGCGGGGGACCGUAAGGCCUCGCGCUAUUGGAGCGGCCGAUGUCUGAUUAGCUAGUUGGCGGGGUAAUAGCCCACCAAGGCGACGAUCAGUAGCUGGUCUGAGAGGACGAUCAGCCACACUGGGACUGAGACACGGCCCAGACUCCUACGGGAGGCAGCAGUGGGGAAUUUUGGACAAUGGGGGCAACCCUGAUCCAGCAAUGCCGCGUGUGCGAAGAAGGCCUUCGGGUUGUAAAGCACUUUUGUCAGGGAAGAAAUCUUUCAGGCUGAUACCCUUGGAAGGAUGACGGUACCUGAAGAAUAAGCACCGGCUAACUACGUGCCAGCCGCCGCAGUAA
RNAcentral lists this ribosomal RNA (503 nucleotides) under uncultured bacterium. Its description in RNAcentral is "partial 16S ribosomal RNA". It matches the Rfam family "Bacterial small subunit ribosomal RNA", at positions 30 to 523 of the family's 1533-position model. The record is from RNAcentral.